RNAcentral lists this transfer RNA (76 nucleotides) under Candidatus Thioglobus sp. RNAcentral describes it as "tRNA-Thr". It matches the Rfam family "tRNA". From Rfam's summary of the family: Transfer RNA (tRNA) molecules are approximately 80 nucleotides in length. Lineage: Bacteria; Pseudomonadati; Pseudomonadota; Gammaproteobacteria; Pseudothioglobaceae (SeqCode). The record is from RNAcentral.
GCUGGCAUAGCUCAGUUGGUAGAGCAAUUCACUUGUAAUGAAUAGGUCGGGGGUUCAAAUCCUCUUGCCAGCUCCA